RNAcentral lists this ribosomal RNA (506 nucleotides) under uncultured bacterium. RNAcentral describes it as "partial 16S ribosomal RNA". It matches the Rfam family "Bacterial small subunit ribosomal RNA", at positions 29 to 523 of the family's 1533-position model. The record is from RNAcentral.
AGUGAACGCUGGCGGUAGGCCUAACACAUGCAAGUCGAACGGCAGCACAGAGGAGCUUGCUCCUUGGGUGGCGAGUGGCGGACGGGUGAGGAAUACAUCGGAGUCUACUCUGUCGUGGGGGAUAACGUAGGGAAACUUACGCUAAUACCGCAUACGACCUACGGGUGAAAGCAGGGGAUCUUCGGACCUUGCGCGAUUGAAUGAGCCGAUGUCGGAUUAGCUAGUUGGCGGGGUAAAGGCCCACCAAGGCGACGAUCCGUAGCUGGUCUGAGAAGAUGAUCAGCCACACUGGAACUAAGACACGGUCCAGACUCCUACGGGAGGCAGCAGUGGGGAAUAUUGGACAAUGGGCGCAAGCCUGAUACAGCCAUACCGCGUGGGUGAAGAAGGCCUUCGGGUUGUAAAGCCCUUUUGUUGGGAAAGAAAUCCAUCUGGUUGAUACCCGGGUGGGAUGACGGUACCCAAAGAAUAAGCACCGGCUAACUUCGUGCCAGCCGCCGCCGUAA